AUACGGAGGAUGCGAGCGUUAUCCGGAUUUAUUGGGUUUAAAGGGUGCGCAGGCGGCCAUUUAAGUCAGCGGUUAAAUCGUGGGGCUCAACCCCAUUCUGCCGUUGAUACUGGGUGGCUUGAUUGCGGUCGAGGUUGGCGGAAUUCGUUGUGUAGCGGGGAAAUGCAUAGAUAUGACGAAGAACACCGAUUGCGUAGGCAGCUGACCAGACCGCAAAUGACGCUCAUGCACGAAAGUGCGGGGAUCGAACAGGAUUAGAUACCCUGGUAGUCCGCACAGUAAACGAUGAAUACUUGUUUUCGGCGAUAUAAUGUCGGAGGCAAAGCGAAAGCGAUAAGUAUUCCACCUGGGGAGUACGCCGGCAACGGUGAAACUCAAAGGAAUUGGCGGGG
RNAcentral lists this ribosomal RNA (392 nucleotides) under uncultured bacterium. RNAcentral describes it as "partial 16S ribosomal RNA". It matches the Rfam family "Bacterial small subunit ribosomal RNA", at positions 523 to 918 of the family's 1533-position model. The record is from RNAcentral.